Halichondria panicea is the source of this 3429-nucleotide long non-coding RNA. RefSeq lists it as uncharacterized. The record is from RefSeq and is a predicted model, not a curated record. The transcript is spliced from 4 exons. Lineage: Eukaryota; Metazoa; Porifera; Demospongiae; Suberitida; Halichondriidae.
GGGGUCCACAGAAUUGCUGCAAUAGUGACCAGACGUUCCCUCCCUCCCACGUCUGCUCGCGAGACUAGUAUUCAUGCACUCCUACCAUGUAUCCAUGGAUCAGAAAAACAGCUCCCCCCUUCCACAUGGUGCCAAUUCCCCCAACCAACUUUCAGGGACAAAACAUGGGGGUAUUAGCCCCCGACUGGAGAAAUCUUCUGGUGGUGUCUGACGAUGUUACAUUGCAAGCUGAGUGGAUGAGCACUGUACAGCAGUGUACAACGCUUUGGUUUAGUUAACUUGAGUGAUUGUGUAUAUAGUUCAGUACUAACUAACUGUAUUGGUGUAUUUUAACACAACUGUAGGUGUAUUUUCUCACUAAAAAUGAUAGCUGUAGAGUAAGUCGCCAAACUCUGUCAGACAUCAAAGUGUGUCGGGCGUGUAAUGCACGAACAUAACAAGAUUGAUUCAAACUAAUUACACACACUAACAGAUGGCCAUGGGACUACUAUCCAGCGAAAACUUGGAUAGGCCAAGUCGCUUCCAGUCCGAGCAAAAAAACUACCGAAUAAUUUGAUUUGCGCCAGAACGUACCGAUCCCCGUUUUUGCCAAACUACACAGCUAUAGAGCUAACUGACAAGCUGAGUACAAUCUAGAUAGAGUGCAUGCAGUACAGAGUGGAGCAAUUCCCAUAAUCAGGCAACCCUGUAAAGCAGAGGUACACUUGUUUCUUUGUGAGGGUUGUAAAGUGCUGAGUCAGCAAUACUCCAGCUAUAAGCGCUAAUAUAUAGCGCUAUAGCUGUGACUUACUCUAUAAUACUGUUGGUGUAUUUUAUCCACUUCACUUAAUUGUUAUAUGAGGGAAAGAACUGGUCCAAAUUGAGGUAAGAGGCAUAGGGACGAGGCUACACACACACACACACACACACACACACACACACACACAUACACACACACACACACAAACACACCUGCGAAAAUACUGUAUACGACGACCAGGAACAUCUGCUUAAUAAUAAUCUUUUGUGUAAUCUAACAUCAAACAUUUGUUUUACAGGAGCUAGAAGGAGGAGCAACUGGAACUCAAAUCUGCUAAACCUGACGAGUAUGUGUUUGCGCAUGAGCGGACCCACCAGUUGCUUCAGCAGCUAAGAGGAGCAGCAACUGGCCAGGGAGGAAGAGCUACCUACCAUUAAAGUUAGGCGUGGUUAUAUGCAGCAACCUGACCCCCUGCCCCUUUUUCUUGAUGGCAAACCCCGCGAGGUAGGACACACCUCACAUCACAUUAGUGAAUUCACACGCAACACACACACGCAGACAUGCACACAGGAAGUAUCUUCUUGAUUAUCAAAAGAAUGUCAGAGCUCCCCCUUUAUUUCCCCAUGCUUUUCCUCUUGGUACCCCACCACCACGUUCUUGAUUUGUGGAUUAGUAUACUAAAACUUUUUUCUCGCUAGUUUAAAGGCUGUUGCAGUCUCUUCAGAAUCUUUCGUAGCAUCAUUUGUUCGCACAAAGUUUCUAUAAUUUAGUCUUGCCUAAAGCGCUAGCUUUUUGUUAGCUACAAGAGUCAGAAAAGAGCUGUAAAGCUAGCUAGCUCUUGCAGACACACCCCUUAUUCCUGUGUGUAACUAAUGUAUGCGCGCAUUCUAUAAUUCUUCUGUUUAGCCAUUGUCUGUGGCUACUGCUCCUAUCUACACCUGCUUAAAGAUGUAAGCAUCAGAGGCUUAUAGGAGCUAUUCUAUCGCAACUUUAGGACGAUGGACUGUGCCAUCCAGUGGCCUAUGCGAAUCGCUCUCUAACAGCUGCAGAGCGUAAUUAUGGAAUUACCGAACUAGAGACCCUAGCAGUCGUUUGGGCACUGAUUCACUACCGCAGCUACCUUUAUGGACAAGAAGUCACUGUGUACACGGACCACUCCGCAGUGAAGGCUGUCCUCCUUACACCGAAGCCAAGUGGGAAGCACGCUUGAUGGUGGACCAAGACAUAUGGCUCUGGAAUCCGGGACCUGAAUAUUGUACAUUGCUCAGGCAAGAGUAAUGCUAAUGCCGACUCUCUGUCGCGCAGCCCUCUAUCUCGAUCCCCACAAGAAGGCAUUGGUGAAGCCGAGUGUCAGAUUGCGGCGAUUUCCUUCCGGUCAGUCGAUGUGCGUGACAUUUCUUCCUUAUUGCAGUCGGAGUUGUCUUCGCCCAAACAGACUAUCUCUAGAAGAGCAGAUGAAAGACCCGUGGCUAGAGAAGCUCUUCCGAGAUGGUAACCUGCUGCUGGAUGGGCAAGGAAAGUUCUACUACAGAGCAGAUCAUUGGUCAGAAGUGGCGUGAGCUCUCAGAGGAAGAGAAGCAACCUUUCAACGAUGAGUACGAGGCAGAUAAGGCUAGAUACAAUGAGCAGCUGAAGGUUUAUUGAAACUCGGUAGCCUUCAGACGAUGGCAAAAAGCAAAGCAACCAGCUGAGACUGCAGCUCGUGAGGCGGCCGGUCGAGAAGCAGCUGGUCUGAGUGAACACGGCUCCCCACCCCCUGCUGUGAAUGCCCCACCCAGACAGAAUAGUGCUGAGGCUAGGUUGCAGAUGAUGCAGCAAGAAGAAAAUGAUGAAGGUGAACAAUUUGUAUAGUUUCUAAAUUUCUUUUCUUCUGCAGAUGAGUACAUCAUCAAGAAUUAAGCAGUUGGCAGCAAUACGUUUUCACAGAAACCAUGCAUCGUCUGAUGCUGGAGAUCUUCGGUGACACAAAAAUCGCCGACACACGUUCUGUUGUGACCAAUUCACGACUGGUAGUCCUACGCAAGCAGGUCACUCCUGCAUCAUAAUUAUCGCAACGAGUUCAUAAUUUUUCCAGAGAAAACUGGAGUCCGAGAUCAAAGGAUUUGAUGUCUACAAGGCGAAGAAAACAAGAAAAGAGCAUGCAUGUUUGGACGACUCUGAGAAGUUUAGAAGAGAGCUAAAGAGGCUUCAUGAAACCCCACCCACAAGUUGGAAGAAACCAGCGCUGUCUCUAGCCUCAAAGGAUUUGCCAGAGCCAGUGUCAGAUCCAAAGUAUAAGACAUUGUGAAAGCAAGAACAUUCUCAUAUAACACUGUUGAGCUUCACUCUAGCAUCAAAGAUCACUUUUGAUUUUGUGAUGUCAAUGAGCUGUAAUUGCCAUGCGCAUUGAUUAGAUUACAAUGUAGAGUCUAGUCGGGUAAAGAAAUUUAUAUCAAAAUAAUGCAUGGGCGGCUAACUUUUCAAUGUAUACAUAUUUUCAUUGAACUGCUUCUUCUCAACUCAUCAGCAAAAAGCAUCAUGUCUGGACGUGGCAAACAUGACACCUAUAUACUGAGCAUGCCAAGAGAAAGACUGUGACUGCCAUGGAUGUCGUCUAUGCUCUGAAGAGGCAAGGACGCACUCUGUAUGGAUUUGGAGGCUAAACAUCUCAUUCUCAACUGAACUUAACUGGUUCUUCUAAGAACCACCAC